GACGAACGCUGGCGGCGUGCUUAACACAUGCAAGUCGAACGGAAAGGCCCUGCUUUUGUGGGGUGCUCGAGUGGCGAACGGGUGAGUAACACGUGAGUAACCUGCCCUUGACUUUGGGAUAACUUCAGGAAACUGGGGCUAAUACCGGAUAGGAGCUCCUGCUGCAUGGUGGGGGUUGGAAAGUUUCGGCGGUUGGGGCUGGACUCGCGGCUUAUCCGCUUGUUGGUGGGGUAGUGGCUUACCAAGGCUUUGACGGGUAGCCGGCCUGAGAGGGUGACCGGCCACAUUGGGACUGAGAUACGGCCCAGAAUCCUACGGGAGGCAGCAGUGGGGAAUAUUGCACAAUGGGCGGAAGCCUGAUGCAGCAACGCCGCGUGCGGGAUGACGGCCUUCGGGUUGUAAACCGCUUUCGCCUGUGACGAAGCGUGAGUGACGGUAAUGGGUAAAGAAGCACCGGCUAACUACGUG
This 468-nucleotide ribosomal RNA is filed under the name uncultured bacterium. RNAcentral describes it as "partial 16S ribosomal RNA". It matches the Rfam family "Bacterial small subunit ribosomal RNA", at positions 28 to 507 of the family's 1533-position model. The record is from RNAcentral.